Molecule: ribosomal RNA, 455 nt
Filed under: uncultured bacterium
Lineage: Bacteria
Description: bacterial SSU rRNA
Rfam family: Bacterial small subunit ribosomal RNA
Source: RNAcentral
UACGGAAGGCAGCAGUGGGGAAUAUUGCACAAUGGGCGAAAGCCUGAUGCAGCUAUGCCGCGUGUAUGAAGAAGGCCUUAGGGUUGUAAAGUACUUUCAUCGGGGAGGAAAAAACAAAACUAAUAAUUUUAUUUCUUGACGUUACCCGAAAAAGAAGCACCGGCUAACUCCGUGCCAGCAGCCGCGGUAAUACGGAGGGUGCUAGCGUUAAUCAGAAUUACUGGGCGUAAAGAGCACGUAGGUGGUUUUUUUAAGUCAGAUGUGAAAUCCCUGGGCUUAACCUGGAACUGCAUUUUGAAACUGAAAUACUAGAGUAUCGUAGAGGGAGGUAGAAUUCUAGGUGUAGCGGUGAAAUGCGUAGAUAUCUGGAGGAAUACCUGUGGCGAAAGCGGCCUCCUAAACGAAUACUGACACUGAGGGUGCGAAAGCGUGGGGAGCAAACGAGGGAUUAGAUA